This 235-nucleotide ribosomal RNA is filed under the name uncultured Candidatus Saccharibacteria bacterium. RNAcentral's name for it is "partial 16S ribosomal RNA". It matches the Rfam family "Bacterial small subunit ribosomal RNA", at positions 584 to 818 of the family's 1533-position model. The record is from RNAcentral. Lineage: Bacteria; Candidatus Saccharimonadota.
UAAGCAGAGAGUGAAAGCGUGUGGCUCAACCAUAUAAACAUUCUUUGAACUAGCAAACUAGAGGGCGAGAGAGGUUAUUGGAAUUGCUAGUGUAGGAGUGAAAUCCGUAGAUAUUAGCAGGAACACCGAUGGCGUAGGCAGAUAACUGGCUCGCACCUGACGCUCAGACACGAAAGCGUGGGUAGCAAACGGGAUUAGAUACCCCGGUAGUCCACGCCCUAAACUAUGGAUGCUA